GCUGGGCGUGGUGUUGCAUGCCUGUAAUCCCAGGAUCUUGGAAGGCUGAGGCAGGAGGAUCACCAGUUCAAAGCCAGAAUCAGCAAUGGCGAGGCAUUAAACAACUCAGUGAGACCCUGUCUCUA
Molecule: small RNA, 125 nt
Filed under: Marmota monax (woodchuck)
Lineage: Eukaryota; Metazoa; Chordata; Mammalia; Rodentia; Sciuridae
Source: RNAcentral